Non-coding RNA from Phellopilus nigrolimitatus, 89 nucleotides. NCBI's taxonomy places the organism in Eukaryota, Fungi, Basidiomycota, Agaricomycetes, Hymenochaetales, Hymenochaetaceae. The record is from the annotation of a GenBank genome assembly.
GGCAAUAGUGUAGUGGUCAUCAUCGGGAUUUUGAUUUAGUUCCUAGAGGCAAUCUUCCCGGAACCCAGGUUCGAACCCUGGUAUUGCCU